UACGUAGGGGGCGAGCGUUAUCCGGAAUUACUGGGCGUAAAGCGCACGCAGGCGGUUCGCCAAUUUUGGAGUGACAGUUGUCGGCUCAACCGACAAAGGACUUCAAAAACUGGUGAACUUGAGGACGAGAGAGGAACAUGGAACUCCAGGUGUAGUAGUGAAAUGCGUAGAUAUCUGGAAGAACACCAAUGGCGAAGGCAAUGUUCUGGCUCGUUUCUGACGCUCAGGUGCGAAAGCCAGGGGAGCGAACGGG
Molecule: ribosomal RNA, 253 nt
Filed under: uncultured bacterium
Lineage: Bacteria
Description: partial 16S ribosomal RNA
Rfam family: Bacterial small subunit ribosomal RNA
Source: RNAcentral